This 497-nucleotide ribosomal RNA is filed under the name uncultured bacterium. RNAcentral describes it as "partial 16S ribosomal RNA". It matches the Rfam family "Bacterial small subunit ribosomal RNA", at positions 28 to 507 of the family's 1533-position model. The record is from RNAcentral.
GAUGAACGCUGGCGGCGUGCCUAAUACAUGCAAGUCGAGCGAACAGACGAGGAGCUUGCUCCUUCGACGUUGGCGGCGGACGGGUGAGUAACACGUAGGUAACCUACCUAUAAGACUGGGAUAACUUCGGGAAACCGGAGCUAAUACCGGAUAAUAUUUCGAACCGCAUGGUUCGAUAGUGAAAGAUGGCUUUGCUAUCACUUAUAGCUGGACCUGCGCCGUAUUAGCUAGUUGGUAAGGUAACGGCUUACCAAGGCAACGAGACGUAACCGACCUGAGAGGGUGAUCGGCCACACGGGAGCGGAGACGCGGUCCAGACGCCUACGGGAGGCAGCAGAAGGGAAUCUUCCGCAAUGGGCGAAAGCCUGACGGAGCAACGCCGCGUGAGUGAUGAAGGUCUUCGGAUCGUAAAACUCUGUUAUUAGGGAAGAACAAACGUGUAAGUAACUGUGCACGUCUUGACGGUACCUGAUCAGAAAGCCACGGCUAACUACGUG